This is a long non-coding RNA of Piliocolobus tephrosceles (Ugandan red Colobus), 2150 nucleotides long. Lineage: Eukaryota; Metazoa; Chordata; Mammalia; Primates; Cercopithecidae. The record is from Ensembl.
CAAACACAAAUUAAACAAUCCCCACCAAAGCAAGCACAACUAAUAUGCGAAGAUAAAAAAAUAACAGUUAGUAUACCUGUUUCUGGUAAAAAUUAUACCAAUAUGUUACAUUACCCCAAAUAUAUUAAUAAUAAUACAUCUAUUAAUAAUCUAUUUAAUGAUUCAUUAAUUUAUAAUACAUCACAUGCUAAUGCUGAUUAUAAUGCACAAAAACAAAUUAUAGGUUAUAAUUAUAAAUAUGUAAAACCAAAAAAUAGAAUCUCUACAAAUUCGAUUUAUGAAUAUAACAACACAUAUAACAUGUAUGUAAACAAAAAUAACAUAACUUCUAAUUCUGAAAUAUUGAAAAAUGAUACAAUACAAAAUACGCACAAUGUAGUCCCUCCAAAUACGUAUUUUUUAAAUAAUAGCGAAUAUACAGAAUUAAUAAACAACUACGAAAUGCAGAAUAGUCCUAAUAAAAAAAAUAAUGAUAUGUAUAAACAUAAUUAUAUAUACAAUAUCCAAAGCGAUAAUAAAAAUGUUGUACCUGCACAUGUACCUGCACCUGUUUCUGUGCCUGUUUCAGCACCUGUUCCUGCAACUAUACCCGCACCUGUACCCGCACCUGUACUCGUACCUGUACCCGUAUCUGUACCCGUACCUGUACCCGCACCUAUAAGUAGUAGUACUACCACUACUACUAGUGACAGUCCCAACAACAUAAUAUUAAGUAACACUCCUAAAAUUAUAUCACCAAAUCAUAGAUAUCAUAGUAAUACUACUGUAAAUAAUAAAACAUGUAUGAACAAACAAAAUUAUACCAGUUUUAAUGUAACAGAAAACAGUAUUAAUGUACGUUAUAGAUAUUAUUAUUAUGAUGAUAAUGGAGCAUUGCUUGGAUAUACAUUCAAUCAACCUAAUGAUAAUAAAAAUACAGACGAACCCAGUGUUAUAUUAAAAAAUCAAACUACAUCACCUAAAAAUUAUAAUUAUGUAAAUGUUGAGAAAUUUAUUCAGGGAACAUAUAAAAGAGAGUUGUUACCACAUGGUGUUGAUACUAAUGAAACUAAUAACAAUGCAAAAUGUAAUUUAGUUAAAAUCAACAAUAUCGAUUAUAAUGGCACUGUCAAUGAUAAUGGCAUUGAAACCCCAAUUAAAGAACAUAAAUCGGAAAGGGAAAUUAAAAAUACUAACAUGUGUAUAAAUCAAACAAUAUCAAAUAGUUACACGAAAACCGAAACAAAUCAAAUAAAAAACAUACACUCACCUAGCGAUACGCAAAAUAAAUUAAAUGAUAAUAAUAAUAAUAAUAAUAUAAUCAUAAAUAUAAACCAAAUUAAACAAGAAGUAAAUAAAAAUAAGUUUCAACCUACUGUAAAUGUAGAAAAUUAUAACAAUAAUAAUGAUCAGAACCAUAACAAUAAAAAAGCACAAUUUUCUGUGGAACCAUAUACUACUGAUAAGGCUUCAGUUACUACAACCACUAAUAACAUAUUUUUAAACAAUGACAUGUAUAUUAAAAAUUUUACUAAUAAUUUAAAAAAUCAAAAUGCAUGCAUGAUUGUUAAAAAUGUGAUUGAUAAUGUAAAUGAUAAAAAAGUCUUACAUAAUACUUAUCCAGACGUAGCAAAAAAUGAAAAAACUGUGUAUAUUGCCUGUGAUGAAUUAAAAACAGGAAGACCAAUUAAAGGUGAUGCAAUUAGUAAUGAAGCUGCAAAUAAAAUAAACAGCAAAAUAAACAGCAAAAUAAACAGCAAAAUAGACAAAAAAAUAAACAGCAAAAUAGACAACACAAUAAACAACAAAAUAAACAAUAAAGUUAAUCCAGAUGAUAUUUUAAAACCUUCCAAUCCUAAUUUAUCAAAUACGGAAAUAGAAGAUGAUAAUGUUGAAGAAAAAAAAAAGGAAAAAAAAAAAGGACAAAAAAAAGAACAAAAAAAAGAACAAAAAAAAGAACAAAAAAAAGAACAAAACGAAAUGGAUGAUAACGAUAAUUACAAUAUAAAAUUAAACCAUAAUAAAAACGAUAGUGACUACUCUGACGAUGAUCAACAUUCCACUGACUAUAGGAAAAAUGGGAAUGGUUUUAAUGGAGGUAAUACUAAUGGGAGUGGCAUUUACGAAAGUAACAGCAGUGUCGCAAAAAAACAUAACACCAACAACUCUAG